GCAAGUCGAGCGAGACCGUCGACUUCGGUCGAUUAGUAAAGCGGCGAACGGGUGAGUAACGCGUGGGUAACCUGCCCUGGAGUGGGGAAUAACCUGGAGAAACUCGGGCUAAUACCGCAUACGACCUCAGCACUGCGGUGCUGAGAGGAAAGCUGGCCAAUUCUUGAAAGCUAGCGCUCCCGGAGGGGCCCGCGCCCGAUUAGCUUGUUGGUGAGGUAACGGCUCACCAAGGCUGUGAUCGGUAGCCGGCCUGAGAGGGCGAUC
This 264-nucleotide ribosomal RNA is filed under the name uncultured bacterium. RNAcentral's name for it is "partial 16S ribosomal RNA". It matches the Rfam family "Bacterial small subunit ribosomal RNA", at positions 57 to 305 of the family's 1533-position model. The record is from RNAcentral.